Non-coding RNA from Aegilops tauschii subsp. strangulata, 976 nucleotides. Lineage: Eukaryota; Viridiplantae; Streptophyta; Magnoliopsida; Poales; Poaceae. The record is from RefSeq and is a predicted model, not a curated record.
CCGCCCCAUCGUCCCCAACCUCCCGUUCAUCCCGCUCGGGAUAGAGCACGAGCCCGCGCCCGCAACCGCCGCACCUCGCCUUCGGGGAUAAGGCUUAUCCCGCAGCCCCGAGCACCCCUCUCCGCGCCUAUAAGAAGCCCUCGACCCACUCUCUCCAUUCUGCCACUUCGUUUCGCCUCACAUCACCCAUAGCCGACGCCCUCCUGCUUUGGAUCUCGCCGGAGCCGGAGCUUCCUUGCCGGAGUAAAACGCCGCCAGGACCGCCGGAGACGCCGCCUCGACGAAGCCCGAGUUCGCCGAAGCACCGGAGCUCCGCCGCCUCCCUCCUCCCCAUCCCGUGCACGCCAACGCCUACCAUCACCACCAUCCGGUCGCUCGCGCCACGACGGUCCCCUUCGCCUUCUUCCCCGCCGCUGAGGAGCACCGCCGCCACCGCCCGUCCGCCACCUGACGCCAACGCCGCCGCCCCCUGCUCGUCGUCAUCGCCGCUAUUUUCAUCGGAGAGUGACGAAUAGUUCUAUUAAGUAAAAUUCUGAGAGCGAUAUAAUCUUCAUCAACUAUUAGCAGGCAAGUUCACAUUUGACCAUUCUUCCAAUUACCUAUGUUUAUAUUAUGCACUUAGUCCUUUUUGUGGUAGGAUUGCAUGGUAGGAUUUAUUGUUGCCAGAUGGCUAUGCCGUUACCUAGUAGUUCAUUUGAGGUAGGUCUGAUCUAUACUUCCUUGUCACCACCGUGUAAGUUUAUUUUUGCCUCGCUAAAUGUAGACGUGGUUUGGGAAGCGAACAUGGUGAGACAUCAGUGACAAAGUAGUAAGCAGGACCAAGACUUGUAAAUGAACUACCUGGGUGGUAUUUGGUUUGAAUGGUGGCUAAGUACAGUGGGAGCAUGCAUGGUUAAUCCAUGGUGGUGCACCACUAGUGGUCGGCCGCCCAGGCUCAAAGAGAUCAAUCGUAUUCUCAUGUCUAGAAGCUUACGUG